RNAcentral lists this unclassified non-coding RNA (396 nucleotides) under fungal sp. Its description in RNAcentral is "partial internal transcribed spacer region". The stretch from base 1 to 46 matches the Rfam family "Eukaryotic small subunit ribosomal RNA", at positions 1786 to 1831 of the family's 1831-position model. Lineage: Eukaryota; Fungi. The record is from RNAcentral.
AAGUCGUAACAAGGUCUCCGUAGGUGAACCUGUGGAGGGAUCAUUAACACGAUGAGAGACACCUAAAAAAUGUCUCCCAUUCUCCACCCAACGUGAACUCGGUUGCUCGAUUGACUUGUCAUUCGUUCAACCAUUCCUCCCUUAGUCUGUUGUUGAACUGUUGGAAUCCGAUGUGUAGUGGGCCAAUUGCUGGCCAUCUGUUCCAACUAGUAGAGCUCGACUCUACGGUUCUCAACGACUUAGGCAAUUCUUCAUUUCAGCCACUACAGGAAUAACCCUAUUCACCCUUCAUAUAUUUUAAUGACUGAUCCAAGAGUGAUAUAAACGCAAGUUUGUAACUCUCUCUAAGAUACGAUAAACUAAGCACAACUCUUAGCAACGGAUAUCUUGGUUCUC